Molecule: ribosomal RNA, 330 nt
Filed under: uncultured eukaryote
Lineage: Eukaryota
Description: partial 18S ribosomal RNA
Rfam family: Eukaryotic small subunit ribosomal RNA
Source: RNAcentral
CCCUUAGAUGUUCUGGGCCGCACGCGCGCUACACUGAUGAAUUCAACGAGCUCCUAACCUAGGCCGAAGGGUCUGGGUAAUCUUUGAAAUUUCAUCGUGAUGGGGAUAGAUUAUUGCAAUUAUUAAUCUUCAACGAGGAAUUCCUAGUAAGCGCGAGUCAUCAGCUCGCGUUGAUUACGUCCCUGCCCUUUGUACACACCGCCCGUCGCUCCUACCGAUUGAAUGGUCCGGUGAAAUGUUCGGACCGCGACAAGGCGGACGGUUCGCUGUCAGCUUUGCUGCGGGAAGUUCAUUAAACCUUAUCAUUUAGAGGAAGGAGAAGUCGUAACA